RNAcentral lists this transfer RNA (75 nucleotides) under Cordylochernes scorpioides. RNAcentral describes it as "tRNA-Thr". It matches the Rfam family "tRNA". From Rfam's summary of the family: Transfer RNA (tRNA) molecules are approximately 80 nucleotides in length. Their secondary structure includes four short double-helical elements and three loops (D, anti-codon, and T loops). The record is from RNAcentral. Lineage: Eukaryota; Metazoa; Arthropoda; Arachnida; Pseudoscorpiones; Chernetidae.
GUCCAGGGUAGCCCAGUGGUCAUGGCAUCUGUGCGGUAAGCGGAAGGUCGUGGGUUCGAUUCCCAUCCCUUGACA